This 270-nucleotide long non-coding RNA is filed under the name Helianthus annuus (common sunflower). RNAcentral's name for it is "sRNA HanXRQr2_Chr12g0520851". Lineage: Eukaryota; Viridiplantae; Streptophyta; Magnoliopsida; Asterales; Asteraceae. The record is from RNAcentral.
AUGAUUUUGCAAAAUAGCUGGCGUAUGAUGUAUUACUUUAUGCUUAUAGUUGUUCACGAGAACGAAGAAUGGAUGUUGUGGACUAUCAGGUCCAAAUACGGAACAACCAGGUGUGUUUGAUUAGGUGUUGAAGGAUGGUUAAAACCCUGUUUGAAGACAUAUUUAGGGUUGAGCAGAUUGAUCCAGAUGGCAAGAAAAUUCACUAAGGUUAUUUAUUUGUUUCCGCUUAGGCUGGAGGGUGUGGUUUAAAGCCCCUAGGGGCUUUAUCGC